UACAUCAGAAAUGGAUUUGGGGCUUCAGAAAUUAGAACUUCGUUCAACCCAUCUCUCUUCGCAAUUUCAAAAUCAGAACUUCGUUCAACCCAUCUCUCUUCGCGACCCAUCUCUCUUCGCGAUUUCUCCAAUUUGUGUUUUACAAGGCCGGUCGGUCAAUAGUUGUUCAUCUGGCUUACUUUUGGCAGCCGAAAACCAAUUACUCGAGAUCCAAAAAAAAAAUUUCUUUCUAUUUUAUGGACAUGUGGGGUCAAUGGUUUUUCUUUCUAAACAUUCCCACAAUGUUUAGUAGUACAUGAGAAUAUUCAGGAGGAGUCUACGAUUAAGAUUGGUGAUUUUAAUAAAUAAAAUUAAAAUAACGACUGUGCUGAGGUUAGGGAGUAAUGGCUGCUGUUAUAGAAUUUUAUUGUCUAGAUACUUUACUUUAGUUGCAGGAAUGUAUUGGUGGUGAUGAUAAUUCUGUAGUUUAAUUACUUUUGUUGGUUGUGAAUAUGUGCUUUGUUUUGUUUCACUUUUUUGGUCAGAAGCAUAAUGCCGUAGAAGAUAUUUUCAAUCUAGGCAAGAGGGCAGAGGAUGCAAAUACAGUGCAGAGGGUAAAAUUCCAGUCGGCAUCGAACUGAGAUGGUUGAGUAGGCAUCGGCAUCGGACUGAGGGCAGUGCACAGAUAGCAGCGAGGAAGAGAAGGCAAGAAGGCAAAUGAGAAACGGCCCGACCGGCGUGAACCAGGUAAACCCCUCUUUUCUCUUCCAGCCCCAUAGCCUAUCUCUUCUGCGAUGCACUUCUUCGACUGGAAUCCCGUAGCCCAUCUUUUUGUAUUCUCUGUAUAUGCUUGAGAUAUUUCUCUCAUGAAAAAACUAGUCCCUUCAUCUGUAGAUUCAGAGCACUCUCAUCUCCAUCUGCAGAUCUUUGUUUUUUCCAUCCAAGCCUCAAGGUACCGCCGUCGCACCUACUGUAAUUGCAGCGUCCACAUUCCGUGUACAACUUGCUGUUUCCUCCCUUGCAACGUCCACAUCCAACUCCAUUUCUUCCCUUGCUGUGUAAUAAAUAUUUUGUUUCCGUUUAUUUUAAAUAAUAUAGUUAAGUAUCCUUCAUCUCUUCGACA
This is a long non-coding RNA of Carya illinoinensis, 1102 nucleotides long. RefSeq lists it as uncharacterized. NCBI's taxonomy places the organism in Eukaryota, Viridiplantae, Streptophyta, Magnoliopsida, Fagales, Juglandaceae. The record is from RefSeq and is a predicted model, not a curated record. The transcript has 2 exons.